This 301-nucleotide ribosomal RNA is filed under the name uncultured bacterium. Its description in RNAcentral is "partial 16S ribosomal RNA". It matches the Rfam family "Bacterial small subunit ribosomal RNA", at positions 509 to 809 of the family's 1533-position model. The record is from RNAcentral.
CAGCAGCCGCGGUAAUACGAGGGGGGCAAGCGUUGUUCGGAAUUAUUGGGCGUAAAGGGUGCGUAGGCGGUUUGGCAAGUUUGGUGUGAAAUCUUCGGGCUCAACUCGAAGUCUGCAUCGAAAACUGCCGGGCUUGAGUAUGGGAGAGGUGAGUGGAAUUUCCGGUGUAGCGGUGAAAUGCGUAGAUAUCGGAAGGAACACCUGUGGCGAAAGCGGCUCACUGGACCAUAACUGACGCUGAUGCACGAAAGCUAGGGGAGCAAACAGGAUUAGAUACCCGUGUAGUCCCUGUCUCUUAUAU